GCGAGUGAACCGGGAAGAGCUCAAAUUUGUAAUCUGGCGUCCUUCGGGCGUCCGAGUUGUAAUCUAUAGAGGCGUUUUCCGCGCCGGACCGCGUCCAAGUCCCCUGGAACGGGGUAUCAAAGAGGGUGACAAUCCCGUGCUUGACGUGACGACCGGUGCUCUGUGAUACGUCCUCAACGAGUCGAGUUGUUUGGGAAUGCAGCUCUAAAUGGGUGGUAAAUUCCAUCUAAGGCUAAAUAUUGGCGAGAGACCGAUAGCGAACAAGUACCGUGAGGGAAAGAUGAAAAGCACUUUGGAAAGAGAGUUAAACAGCACGUGAAAUUGUUGAAAGGGAAACGAUUGAAGUCAGUCGUGCGUAAGGUAUUCAGCCGUCUCUGGCGGUGUACUUGCCUUGCGCGGGUCAACAUCAGUUCUGGCCGACGGAAAAGAGUGAGAGGAAGGUGGCACCCCCGGGUGUGUUAUAGCCUCUUGCUGCAUACGUCGGCUGGGACUGAGGAAUGCAGCUCGCCUCACGGCCGGGAUUUAUCCACGUUCGAGCUUAGGAUGUUGACAUAAUGGCUUUAAACGACCC
Molecule: ribosomal RNA, 571 nt
Filed under: Cryptococcus sp. GY28L10
Lineage: Eukaryota; Fungi; Basidiomycota; Tremellomycetes; Tremellales; Cryptococcaceae
Description: eukaryotic LSU rRNA
Rfam family: Eukaryotic large subunit ribosomal RNA
Source: RNAcentral